UUGGAGCCCCCAACUGCUACUAAAGGGGGUCACGGGGGGCUUCCGGGGAAUUAGCCGUUAGACCCGAUACUAAUGCUCACAUUAGUACUGGGUCAAGAACCAACUGGUACUAAGUCUCGGGACGAAUGUCGAGUUUUCCAGCAAUGACUUAUUAUAUGUUUGAAGUUUUAGAAGCAUUUUUGUAAUGAUUAAUGACAUUAUGUAUUUUCUUUGAAUGUAUCAACUCAUGUCCCAUUGGCUAAACUUGCAUUGAUUAGAGCCUGCAUUUUAGAGAAGCUAGCUUUUGAGAUACCAAAAAUCAAGUGCAUGAUACGAAGGAUCUUCCAAAAGCAAUUGCAACCCGCGAAGGAUCUUCCAAAAGCAAUUGCAACCCACAAAGAUCAAAGAGACCUUUCCAAUUUCUUCCCAAUUAGAUCACUUCACAAGAUAAUCAAUAGACCCACAUAGACAUCUUGAAAAACACCAUAUUCAUUAGAACCAUCACUCCAACACUACUAUAGAUAGGGCUACAUGAUGCGCAUAGUAGGACCAUUCCAUCAUCCCUGUUCCCCUUGAUUUUCUUUGCAUUUUCUUGGUACCCCUGCAAAACAAUGUGCAACAUCCAGAACACUUGAAAUUUGUGAGUUAUAAAUAAAAUCAUUGCUAUGAGUAGGAACUUCCAAAGUUUGGAUGGAGUUUGGAGUUGGUGUUUAGCAGACUCCAACAUGCAUGCGGACACUGUCUAGUUUUGGAAACUUCUUACCAUUGCUGCAAUCAUGGCCCAAACUUUAUAUACAUUGAUGUUUUACCAUGACCUUUCAUAUCUGCUACAGUGCAAUCGAUCUCACCCCGGUUAGUUACUUGGAAACAUCGGGUCUCAAGUUAUAUCCACUUCUACCGCCAUAUAUAAAUUGUAGAAAAAAACAGUCCUUAUUCUUCAUUAACAAUUACCUUAGUUCCUGUAAAAAAACAAUUAUCUUAGUUCCCGUAAAAAAACAAUUACCAUAGUUGAGUGUUUAAGAUUCGAUCAGUCCUUAUUCUUCAUUAACAAUUACCUUAGUUCCUUAAAAAAACAAUUAUCUUAGUUCCC
Molecule: long non-coding RNA, 1069 nt
Filed under: Setaria viridis
Lineage: Eukaryota; Viridiplantae; Streptophyta; Magnoliopsida; Poales; Poaceae
Description: long non-coding RNA (SVIR_LNC010357)
Source: RNAcentral